UAUGCACGCUGGCGGCGUGCUUAACACAUGCAAGUCGAGCGAGAAGUUUUGAAAAGAUUCUUCGGAUGAAAUUUAAAAUGGAAAGCGGCGGACGGGUGAGUAACGCGUAGGCAACCUGCCCCAUACAAAGGGAUAGCAUUUGGAAACGAAUAUUAAUACCUUAUGAAACUUAACUAGUGCAUGCUAGGUAGGUCAAAGAUUUAUCGGUAUGGGAUGGGCCUGCGUCUGAUUAGCUAGUUGGUGAGGUAACGGCUCACCAAGGCGACGAUCAGUAGCCGACCUGAGAAGGUGAACGGCCACAUUGGAACUGAGACACGGUCCAAACUCCUACGGGAGGCAGCAGAGGGGAAUAUUGCACAAGGGGGGAAACCCUGAUGCAGCAACGGCGCGUGAACGAUGAAGGCCUUUGGGUCGUAAAGUUCUGUUCUAGGUGAUGAAAACUGACAGUAACCGAGGAGAAAGCCCCGGCUAACUCCGUG
RNAcentral lists this ribosomal RNA (479 nucleotides) under uncultured bacterium. RNAcentral's name for it is "partial 16S ribosomal RNA". It matches the Rfam family "Bacterial small subunit ribosomal RNA", at positions 29 to 507 of the family's 1533-position model. The record is from RNAcentral.